GACUAGAAAUUGUUGACACAUAUUAAAAUUGGAAUGAUACAGAGAAGAUUAGCAUGAUGCCCUCUUGCACAAAGAUGACACGCACAAUUGUGACACGUUCCUAAUUUGA
Molecule: small nuclear RNA, 109 nt
Filed under: Lytechinus variegatus (green sea urchin)
Lineage: Eukaryota; Metazoa; Echinodermata; Echinoidea; Temnopleuroida; Toxopneustidae
Source: RNAcentral